CCCCCAAGGCUGGAUCUGAAAUUCCUCCUGAGGGAGCUCACCAGUCACUGACCUGAAGCAAGGUGCCAUUCUGGAGGGGGGAAAAAAAUCACCAUCUUCUUCUCUACCUCUUUUCACUCAAUAUACUAAAGGCAUUUUGCCUUGCCUACUCCUCCUGAGAAGAGGUUGAUGUACUCACUAUCAGGAUUGUGGUCGCGGGUACUCUGUGUGAGAAACAUUCCCCUGCAGCUCUGAGCCACAGCAUUGUCAGAAAGAGGAAUUAAGACUUCUACCAUCCUGAAAUCUUUCUGCAUCCUGGUUCAGAUGAAAACAUCUUCCAGAAGAGGCGAGAUACAAAGUCUAAUUUCAAAUUUUGAAAUUUCGAGGCAGGAAGUGUCUUGUAUUUUAUUGCGACACACUGUUGUGUCUAACAGAGAGGAAUCCCAAACCUUGCCUGCGAUCACUGCACUAAGGAGAUAUUAAUGGUUUUCUGUGUAAGACACAGAUACACAGACAUAUGAACAUAGAAUCUGAAGAAAGAAAAAGGCUAUCAUUCAGAUGUGGAUGUGUUGCAGUGAUGCUUGGAUAUAACAAACAGGAGAUGACUCAAGGGAACAUCAAAGUUUCUGAAAGUAAGUGGGUUAGACAUCAAGUCAAAUGUCUUCUUCAAUCUGGAGAUGAAAGACUGGAUGAAAUACAACUUCAUAACUGAGGCUGUUUUUACCCUGAAACCCAUGGAUGUUUAUUGAUACAUAUUAAAAAAAAAACAAACCUAAACAAAAACAACAACAACAACAAAUAUUCACGUAGUGAUGCCUUUGUGGGACCAAACUAAGGUAGCUAAAUGAAUGAAACAGCACUAUCUCUGUACUGA
This is a long non-coding RNA of Numida meleagris (helmeted guineafowl), 853 nucleotides long. RefSeq lists it as uncharacterized. NCBI's taxonomy places the organism in Eukaryota, Metazoa, Chordata, Aves, Galliformes, Numididae. The transcript is spliced from 4 exons. The record is from RefSeq and is a predicted model, not a curated record.